This 117-nucleotide signal recognition particle RNA is filed under the name Gorilla gorilla gorilla (western lowland gorilla). RNAcentral's name for it is "Metazoan signal recognition particle RNA". It matches the Rfam family "Metazoan signal recognition particle RNA". Rfam says of the family: The signal recognition particle (SRP) is a universally conserved ribonucleoprotein. It is involved in the co-translational targeting of proteins to membranes. Lineage: Eukaryota; Metazoa; Chordata; Mammalia; Primates; Hominidae. The record is from Rfam by way of RNAcentral.
GCCGGGCGUGGUGGCUCACACCUGUAAUCCCAGCACCCUGGGAGGCUGAGGCGGGUGGAUCACCUGAGGUCAGGAGUUCAAGACCAGCCUGGCCAACAUGGUGAAACCCCGUCUCUA